UUUAAAAUAUAACUCUGACUUGUGUGUGGUUUGUAAACAUAACUCAUUUAGUAAUACAGGAAAUUACCACGACAAGUCGUUGAAAGUUCUUGCAGAUGCAAUCUAUGAAUACCUCAGCAUCCACAACAGGUAAACUCUGAGCGAGAUAAACCACUUGGUUGGCAUGAAAGUCGGAUAUUCCAGGGAAUAGUUUUAACAGUACGACAUUGUUAUAUGACAUGCAUCCAGGGUGACAAACUUUUGGAAAUAUUCACCAUGCUGCAUUGAGGUCUGGUCAGAAAUUCUACAGGUAAUAGUUUUUCUCAGUUGUUGGUUUACUUUCCUGAUUGAAUCGAUCCUUUCAACUGCAGUAGUCGCUUUGUGUUUGUCCCCGGUCCUGAAGAUCCUGGUCCCAGCACAAUCCUACCCAGGCCCUGUUGGCAGACCACAUCACUGAGGAGUUCAGACAGAGGGUGCCAUUCUCUGUGUUCACUACGAACCCAUGCAUGUGACUGAAAUAUUAUAGUUGCUUGAUUUGUUAACUUUUCCAUAAUUUGUUUCUCGUCUUGAACUUUAUUAGCAAAGAUCUUAUGAUUUUUUUUCACAUAAUAGCUAAUAUGUAGCAUUGUCAAAUACAUUUGUCUGCAUAAGGCUACAUUUGCUCAUUAUAGCAUUUUACCAAUCUUGUUUUCACAGGUUACUAGAUGGCUUGUUGUCUUUGUUUUGCCUCUGCAGUGGCAUUUUGUAAAUGUCAUCUUUGACGUAUAACAACAUGUGAAUCUACUUUUCCUGUGUCAGAAUCCAGUACUGCAGCCAGGAGAUUGUUGUCAUUUGAGAAGAACUGGUGAACAAGAUGUGUAGAAAUUGUGUCCGGCUGCCUAGCAGCAAUCUCCGCAUUCCAAACCAUGUGAGAUUUAGCUCCUCAGUUAUGACACAGUCAAUCUCUACUACUACUGCCUAUAGCAUCUAACUUGGCUACUAACCAUGGCCUGUAUUCACAAAGCAUUUCAGAGAAGGGGUGCUGAUCUAGGAUUGCCCCCCCCCCGUCCAUAUAAUUGGACAAACUUAUUUUGUCCAGAUUAUUUCUAGGUUCACUGCUAUCUUCCUCUGUUCUUCAGAAAUACAAUUAAUCAAAAUAAGACCACUCCUGGUCACUGACAGACCACUUUUCCCAGCGCAUUCUUCACAAUUUGACACCUCAAACGGGUGUCCCACAUAUGCAUCCCAACAAGAAGAGAUUCAUUAUCAUUCAUACAUGUAUCCUCCACUCCAAUUCCAGUUUUCAAUACUACUGUUGUCCAUUCAGAACAUUCGUCUUCACCAACUUUGCUCGCCACGCUGCUUGAUUCGAACUCAUUAUCCACUURCAUCUUUCCCUGACAGCAUGUCCCAGCAGCCUUUGCCUUCCUCCAUUUCUAAAAGGGACAUGUCUUCUUAAAGGGAUAGCCCACCAAAAUGACAAUGGCAGCCAUCUUAGAUUUGACAGAUAAAAUAAUGCAGUCAGAACUGGCAGAUACAUAAUAUAACAGCAUUAAAAU
Salvelinus sp. IW2-2015 is the source of this 1517-nucleotide non-coding RNA. The record is from RefSeq and is a predicted model, not a curated record. Lineage: Eukaryota; Metazoa; Chordata; Actinopteri; Salmoniformes; Salmonidae.